GCAAUGCCGCGUGCAGGAUGAAGGCCUUCGGGUUGUAAACUGCUUUUGUACGGAACGAAACGGUCCUUUCUAAUACAAGGGGCUAAUGACGGUACCGUAAGAAUAAGCACCGGCUAACUACGUGCCAGCAGCCGCGGUAAUACGUAGGGUGCGAGCGUUAAUCGGAAUUACUGGGCGUAAAGCGUGCGCAGGCGGUUAUGUAAGACAGAUGUGAAAUCCCCGGGCUCAACCUGGGACCUGCAUUUGUGACUGCAUANCUAGAAUACGGUAGAGGCCCAUGGAAUUCCCCGUGUGNCACCGAAAUGCUCAUUUAUGCGGAGGAACACCUGUGNNGAAAANGACCCCUGNANCUGUCCUUGCGCUAAUUAACCCAACAUCUCACNACANAAACUGAUAAAUACCCUGGUACACCUGUGUUAAAGUUCUCUUUCCAGCACUAAGCCAUCUCUGGCAAAUUCCAUAGAUGUUAA
This 470-nucleotide ribosomal RNA is filed under the name Comamonadaceae bacterium. RNAcentral describes it as "bacterial SSU rRNA". It matches the Rfam family "Bacterial small subunit ribosomal RNA", at positions 391 to 806 of the family's 1533-position model. Lineage: Bacteria; Pseudomonadati; Pseudomonadota; Betaproteobacteria; Burkholderiales; Comamonadaceae. The record is from RNAcentral.